AACGAACGCUGGCGGCAUGCCUAACACAUGCAAGUCGAACGAGACCUUCGGGUCUUGUGGCGCACGGCUGCGUAACGCGUGGGAACCUGCCCUUAGGUUCGAACUAACUCCCCGACAGGGGUGCUAAUACCGGAUCAUGUCUUCGACCCAAAGAUUUAUCGCCUUUGGAUGGGCACGCGUUGGAUUAGCUAGUUGGUAGGGUAAAAGCCUACCAAGGCGACGAUCCAUAGCUGGUCUGAGAGGAUGAUCAGCCACACUGGGACUGAGACACGGCCCAGACUCCUACGGGAGGCAGCAGUGGGGAAUAUUGGACAAUGGGCGAAAGCCUGAUCCAGCAAUGCCGCGUGAGUGAUGAAGGCCUUAGGGUUGUAAAGCUCUUUUACCCGGGAUGAUAAUGACAGUACCGGGAGAAUAAGCUCCGGCUAACUCCGUG
Molecule: ribosomal RNA, 433 nt
Filed under: uncultured bacterium
Lineage: Bacteria
Description: partial 16S ribosomal RNA
Rfam family: Bacterial small subunit ribosomal RNA
Source: RNAcentral